Molecule: non-coding RNA, 114 nt
Organism: Triticum aestivum (bread wheat)
Lineage: Eukaryota; Viridiplantae; Streptophyta; Magnoliopsida; Poales; Poaceae
Source: Rfam
CAAAUACUCCCUCCGUACGAAUUACUUGUCACAAGUAUGGAUGUAUCUAGAUGUAUUUUAGUUAUAGAUACAUCCAUUUCUGUGACGAGUAAUUUGGAACAGAGGGAGUAGUAC